RNAcentral lists this ribosomal RNA (490 nucleotides) under uncultured bacterium. RNAcentral's name for it is "partial 16S ribosomal RNA". It matches the Rfam family "Bacterial small subunit ribosomal RNA", at positions 29 to 507 of the family's 1533-position model. The record is from RNAcentral.
GUGAACGCUGGCGGUAGGCCUAACACCUGCAAGUCGAACGGCAGCACAGUAAGAGCUUGCUCUUACGGGUGGCGAGUGGCGGACGGGUGAGGAAUACAUCGGAAUCUACUUUUUCGUGGGGGAUAACGUAGGGAAACUUACGCUAAUACCGCAUACGACCUACGGGUGAAAGCAGGGGAUCUUCGGACCUUGCGCGAUUGAAUGAGCCGAUGUCGGAUUAGCUAGUUGGCGGGGUAAAGGCCCACCAAGGCGACGAUCCGUAGCUGGUCUGAGAGGAUGAUCAGCCACACUGGAACUGAGACACGGUCCAGACUCCUACGGGAGGCAGCAGUGGGGAAUAUUGGACAAUGGGCGCAAGCCUGAUCCAGCCAUACCGCGUGGGUGAAGAAGGCCUUCGGGUUGUAAGCCCUUUUGUUGGGAAAGAAAAGCAGCAGGUUAAUACCCCGCUGUUCUGACGGUACCCAAAGAAUAAGCACCGGCUAACUUCGUG